RNAcentral lists this transfer RNA (71 nucleotides) under Cromileptes altivelis (humpback grouper). Its description in RNAcentral is "tRNA-Phe". It matches the Rfam family "tRNA". From Rfam's summary of the family: Transfer RNA (tRNA) molecules are approximately 80 nucleotides in length. Their secondary structure includes four short double-helical elements and three loops (D, anti-codon, and T loops). RNAcentral also lists the same sequence under 1 other name. Lineage: Eukaryota; Metazoa; Chordata; Actinopteri; Perciformes; Serranidae. The record is from RNAcentral.
GUUGUCGUAGCUUAAAAUUAAAGCAUUACACUGAAGAUGUUAAGAUAGGCUCUAAUACAGCCUCGAAAACA